RNAcentral lists this non-coding RNA (107 nucleotides) under Sporolactobacillus laevolacticus. RNAcentral describes it as "SAM-I sequence". It matches the Rfam family "SAM riboswitch aptamer (S box leader)". Rfam says of the family: The SAM riboswitch is found upstream of a number of genes which code for proteins involved in methionine or cysteine biosynthesis in Gram-positive bacteria. The SAM riboswitch acts at the level of transcription termination control. RNAcentral also lists the same sequence under 1 other name. Lineage: Bacteria; Bacillati; Bacillota; Bacilli; Caryophanales; Sporolactobacillaceae. The record is from RNAcentral.
UUCUUAUCCAGAGUGGCGGAGGGACUGGCCCGAUGAAACCCGGCAACCCAAAUGUAAAUUUAGGUGCCAAUUCCUGCAGAAUCCGUUUGGAUUUUGAGAGAUAAGAG